GACGAACGCUGGCGGCGUGCUUAACACAUGCAAGUCGAACGGAAAGGCCCUGCUUUUGUGGGGUGCUCGAGUGGCGAACGGGUGAGUAACACGUGAGUAACCUGCCCUUGACUUUGGGAUAACUUCAGGAAACUGGGGCUAAUACCGGAUAGGAGCUCCUGCUGCAUGGUGGGGGUUGGAAAGUUUCGGCGGUUGGGGAUGGACUCGCGGCUUAUCAGCUUGUUGGUGGGGUAGUGGCUUACCAAGGCUUUGACGGGUAGCCGGCCUGAGAGGGUGACCGGCAGAAUGGGGACUGAGAGACCGACCAGACGCCUCCGGGAGGCAGCAGUGGGGAAUAGGGCACAAUGGGCGGAAGCCGGAUCCAGCAACGCCGCGUGCGGGAUGACGGCCUUCGGGUUGUAAACCGCUUGCGCCUGUGACGAAGCGGGAGUGACGGGAAUGGGUAAAGAAGCACCGGCUAACUACGUG
Molecule: ribosomal RNA, 468 nt
Filed under: uncultured bacterium
Lineage: Bacteria
Description: partial 16S ribosomal RNA
Rfam family: Bacterial small subunit ribosomal RNA
Source: RNAcentral